RNAcentral lists this ribosomal RNA (322 nucleotides) under uncultured eukaryote. RNAcentral describes it as "partial 18S ribosomal RNA". It matches the Rfam family "Eukaryotic small subunit ribosomal RNA", at positions 1470 to 1796 of the family's 1831-position model. The record is from RNAcentral.
CCCUUAGAUGUUCUGGGCUGCACACGUGCUACACUGAGUGGAUCAGCGGGUCAGGUUGCGCGAAAGCGUUUCCUAAUCUUUAAAUCCGCUCGUGAUGGGGAUUGACGGUUGCAAUUUUCUGUCAUGAACGAGGAAUACCUUGUAAGCGCGGGUCAUCAUCCCGCGCUGAAUACGUCCCUGCCCUUUGUACACACCGCCCGUCGCUCCUACCGAUUGAGUGGUCCGGUGAGGCUUUGGGAUCUGAGCGGAAAGAGCGUUUCGCUGUUUCUGCUCGGAAAACUCAGUCGAACCUUAUCAUUUAGAGGAAGGAGAAGUCGUAACA